This 21-nucleotide microRNA is filed under the name Dasypus novemcinctus (nine-banded armadillo). RNAcentral's name for it is "Dno-Let-7-P2b3_3p* (star (passenger))". The record is from RNAcentral. Lineage: Eukaryota; Metazoa; Chordata; Mammalia; Cingulata; Dasypodidae.
CUAUGCAACUUACUACUUUCC